This 246-nucleotide unclassified non-coding RNA is filed under the name Hevea brasiliensis (rubber tree). Lineage: Eukaryota; Viridiplantae; Streptophyta; Magnoliopsida; Malpighiales; Euphorbiaceae. The record is from RNAcentral.
UUUUUUCCCUUUUUUUUUUUUCUUUCUUUCUAAAUUUGCAUUGUUUGAGGAUCUGUGCGUUAUGUUAAUUCAUUUUUGAUGUGCACAUCUUAGAUCACACUACAAGGAAAGUUUACAUAAAUAUUAACUCAUUGAUCAUGGUCUCUUUCUUUCUCUCCUUUUGUUCUUAUCUUUCUUCAAGGAAUAUAUAUAUAUAUUACCUCUAAAAUGGAAUAUGAUGUUUAAGAGAGUGAAUCCAUGUAGCCG